GUUGUCCUGGGGUAAGCAUGUAGGGCGGAACGUAGGUAAAUCCGCGUUCUAUUCAGCCUGAGAUGUGAUGCCGAGCCGAUUGUGGUGAAGUGGAUGAUCCUAUGCUGCCGAGAAAAGCCUCUAGUGAGUGUUGUGGCGGCCCGUACCCUAAACCGACUCAGGUGGUCAGGUAGAGAAUACCAAGGCGAUCGGGUGAACUGUGGUUAAGGAACUCGGCAAAUUGCCCCCGUAACUUCGGGAGAAGGGGGACCUCUGCUGGUGAUGGGCUUUACGUUCUGAGCUGGUGGGGGUCGCAGUGGCCAGGGGGAAGCGACUGUUUACUAAAAACACAGGUCCGUGCGAAGUCGUAAGACGAUGUAUACGGACUGACGCCUGCCCGGUGCCGGAACGUUAAGGGGACCGCUUAGCCAACGCGAGUUGGCGAAGGUGAGAACUUAAGCGCCGGUAAACGGCGGUGGUAACUAUAACCAUCCUAAGGUAGCGAAAUUCCUUGUCGGGUAAGUUCCGACCUGCACGAAUGGCGUAACGACUUCCCCGCUGUCUCAACCACAGACCCGGCGAAAUUGCACUACGAGUAAAGAUGCUCGUUUCGCGCAGCAGGACGGAAAGACCCCGGGACCUUCACUACAGCUUGACAUUGGCGUUUGGAACGUCUUGUGUAGGAUAGGUGGGAGACUGGGAAGCUGUCACGCUAGUGAUGGUGGAGUCAUUGGUGAAAUACCACUCUGGUCGUUUUGAACGUCUAACUCUGGUCCGUGAUCCGGAUCGGGGACAGUGUCUGGUGGGUAGUUUAACUGGGGCGGUUGCCUCCUAAAGAGUAACGGAGGCGCCCAAAGGUUCCCUCAGCCUGGUUGGCAAUCAGGUGUUGAGUGUAAGUGCACAAGGGAGCUUGACUGUGAGACUGACAGGUCGAGCAGGAGCGAAAGCUGGGACUAGUGAUCCGGCAUCGGCGUGUGGAAGCGGUGUCGCUCAACGGCUAAAAGGUACCCCGGGGAUAACAGGCUGAUCUUCCCCAAGAGUCCAUAUCGACGGGAUGGUUUGGCACCUCGAUGUCGGCUCGUCGCAUCCUGGGGCUGGAGUAGUCCCAAGGGUUGGGCUGUUCGCCCAUUAAAGCGGUACGCGAGCUGGGUUUAGAACGUCGCGAGACAGUUCGGUCCCUAUCCGCUGCGCGCGCAGGAGACUUGAAGGGGGCUGUCCCUAGUACGAGAGGACCGGGACGGACGAACCUCUGGUGUGCCAGUUGUACCGCCAGGUGCACGGCUGGUUGGCUACGUUCGGAAGGGAUAACCGCUGAAAGCAUCUAAGCGGGAAGCUCGCCUUGAGAUGAGGUCUCCCACCCCGUGAGGGGGUAAGGCUCCCGGUAGAUCACCGGGUUGAUAGGCCGGAGGUGGAAGCACGGUAACGUGUGGAGCUGACCGGUACUAAUAGGCCGAGGACUUGACCAC
Molecule: ribosomal RNA, 1445 nt
Filed under: metagenome
Description: bacterial LSU rRNA
Rfam family: Bacterial large subunit ribosomal RNA
Source: RNAcentral